GACCUUGAAAGUGAGGGAGGUUGACCCGUCCCCUUAGACCAAAGAUAAGGAGGGAACUUCUACUGAAUUUAUGUUGCCAGAGCCAGGCGGGAGGACAAUAGAUUUAUUAUACCGAAGACGUAGGUGGCAGGCAGGUCAUAUCACGAUAGGAUACAGUUUAUGGGACCAAAGGGGGCUGUUCAACCUUCUUCACUCACACCAUGGUGGGAUGAUCUAUAUAAUCUUGUGUAUGUCUUUUUGUGUUAGAACAUUCUCCUUGACUCUCUGAGCGGAGCAUUGUUCCCGGAAGAUCUUCUGAAAUAAACUGUUUAAUUUGCUGCAAA
Molecule: long non-coding RNA, 323 nt
Organism: Astyanax mexicanus (Mexican tetra)
Lineage: Eukaryota; Metazoa; Chordata; Actinopteri; Characiformes; Acestrorhamphidae
Exons: 2
Source: RefSeq, a predicted model, not a curated record